UACGUAGGGUGCGAGCGUUGUCCGGAAUUACUGGGCGUAAAGAGCUCGUAGGUGGUUUGUCGCGUUGUCCGUGAAAACUCGCAACUCAAUUGUGGGCGUGCGGCGAUACGGGCAGACUGGAGUACUGCAGGGGGAGACUGGAAUUCCUGGUGUAGCGGUGGAAUGCGCAGAUAUCAGGAGGAACACCGGUGGCGAAGGCGGAUCUCUGGGGCCUUACCUGACGCUCAGGCGCGAAAGCUAGGGGAGCGAACAGG
RNAcentral lists this ribosomal RNA (254 nucleotides) under uncultured bacterium. Its description in RNAcentral is "partial 16S ribosomal RNA". It matches the Rfam family "Bacterial small subunit ribosomal RNA", at positions 524 to 776 of the family's 1533-position model. The record is from RNAcentral.